This 468-nucleotide ribosomal RNA is filed under the name uncultured bacterium. Its description in RNAcentral is "partial 16S ribosomal RNA". It matches the Rfam family "Bacterial small subunit ribosomal RNA", at positions 28 to 507 of the family's 1533-position model. The record is from RNAcentral.
GACGAACGCUGGCGGCGUGCUUAACACAUGCAAGUCGAACGGAAAGGCCCUGCUUUUGUGGGGUGCUCGAGUGGCGAACGGGUGAGUAACACGUGAGUAACCUGCCCUUGACUUUGGGAUAACUUCAGGAAACUGGGGCUACUACCGGAUAGGAGCUCCUGCUGCAUGGUGGGGGUUGGAAAGUUUCGGCGGUUGGGGAUGGACUCGCGGCUUAUCAGCUUGUUGGUGGGGUAGUGGCUUACCAAGGCUUUGACUGGUAGCCGGCCUGAGAGGGUGACCGGCCACAUUGGGACUGAGAGACGGCCCAGACGCCUACGGGAGGCAGCAGUGGGGAAUAUUGCACAAUGGGCGGAAGCCUGAUGCAGCGACGCCGCGUGCGGGAUGACGGCCUUCGGGUUGUAAACCGCUUUCGCCUGUGACGAAGCGUGAGUGACGGUAAUGGGUAAAGAAGCACCGGCUAACUACGUG